AGCUUUAUAUUCAAAUAAUGAUAUAAAAUUGCAAAUUUUAAGGUAUAAAUGGUUUAAUAUUUAUUAAGGCUU
RNAcentral lists this transfer RNA (72 nucleotides) under Athyma daraxa. Its description in RNAcentral is "tRNA-Cys". Lineage: Eukaryota; Metazoa; Arthropoda; Insecta; Lepidoptera; Nymphalidae. The record is from RNAcentral.